Molecule: non-coding RNA, 95 nt
Filed under: Polaribacter atrinae
Lineage: Bacteria; Pseudomonadati; Bacteroidota; Flavobacteriia; Flavobacteriales; Flavobacteriaceae
Description: SAM-I-IV sequence
Rfam family: SAM-I/IV (S-adenosyl methionine) riboswitch aptamer
About the family: It is found upstream of a number of genes which code for proteins involved in methionine or cysteine biosynthesis. It has been found mostly in the order Actinomycetales.
Source: Rfam by way of RNAcentral
GUAAUGUAUCAGGAACGCAAAAAAUGCGUACCAACCGAGCACAACAGCCACGGUGGUUUAGAAUACGGACAGUUCAGUCAAAAUAAAUGAACCUC